This 1419-nucleotide long non-coding RNA is filed under the name Theobroma cacao (cacao). RNAcentral describes it as "long non-coding RNA (TCAC_LNC000992)". Lineage: Eukaryota; Viridiplantae; Streptophyta; Magnoliopsida; Malvales; Malvaceae. The record is from RNAcentral.
AAAUAUUCAAUAAACUAUUCUAUUUUCUUAUAAAACAAUAUUUAUAGAGUUACCGGUAAAUAAUUUUUGUAGCGUAAAAGCUAAAUAAAUUCAUACAUACUGUAAUACAGAUAACCAAAGCAUAAGAUUUAAUUUACAGUGACACGUGGGCCCACGAACUACCAAAGGUAUCAAAAGCGGUAAACCUAGAGUUUUUGAAGAUGCAAGUCCAACUGUAGCCCUCAAUAAAGUGAGCUAUCUACCGACUAUCCUGAGCCUGAAAUGGGUGGAAAAGAGGGUGAUGAGAUUAUAUAAUCCCAGUAAGUAAACAAAUACCAUCUAAAAUAUCCAAAGCCGAGUAAUAAAGAUAGAUAAAAUAGAUAAGCAUAAAAAUGAUUCUCAGCAUUUCGAACUCAUUUUAAUAAGAUAAAAUAGAUUCAUUUCACCAAAAUAAACAACAAGGCUUAUGAUUUCCUGAAAAAUUUGGCUCGCGCCAAAAUCAUUCUCAUACUUAGUUAUCAAAGAUACCUUGGCAAAGGGCUAUCCCAAACCGAGUCCGCCAAGGCUGUUAAAAAGUCAUGUACGCAUAAAUCAUGUUUUUAUUUUGAAACAUAGUCGUUCCUUGGCCUUGGCUGAGUUCACCCUUAUGUGGUGGUUUAGCGUGAAGUGAACUCUAAAGUGUUAACCUCAAGAGUUAUCCAUCCACGCCUCUCAUACUGAGGUAAGAAUACAAUAGGGUUACCGUGCCCUUUUAAUAGGCUAGUCCACAGAACCCGUCCACUGUAGCAACCAAUUUAUAACCCACCAAUUCAAUAAAAUUCAACAGCAUGACAUGACAAUUAUUUUAUUUUACAGCCUCUCAAGGCAAAUCAACAGUUCAUACUUUUUCAGCACAUUUACCAAUUCAGCCAUUCAUGCCAAUAUUAUCAUAAGCCUUUCAAUUCAAAUCAUGAUUUAUAACACAGCAAUUAGUCUCCAAUUACUCCAUUUUCAAAACCAUCUUUCAAUUUCAAGACAAUUUUAUAAAAUCAUUUCAUUUAAACACAUUUUCCAUAAAAUUACAAAAUCGGAUAAAAACAUACUUUAGAUAAUUAAGACGAUAAUAAGGUUACUCACUAUAUUAGGAGUUUGAAUUUUUUUGGAGUACUCCGACUAUUGAUCCUCAAGUGCAAUUUCUUUGCCCUUUUUCGGAGGAUUCACCAUCUAGACAUAAUGCAAAAUCAAGCAAUUUACCACAUUGGUGCUAAACCGUUAUAAAACUAAUUCAGGCUCUAUACUAAUGCAUGAAAUGAGAUGUAAAUUGUUCGGAUUAUCGUCUAAACAUGGUGUUCUACACAAAUUCAAUUGUGUACCUAAAUAAAACGGUAUUGGCCUAAUUUCAAUCUAUCACUCGAUUAAUUGCCCAAUAUAUCCAAUUUAACUCCAAUAAUUCCAUUUUUC